Molecule: RNA transcript, 2670 nt
Organism: Xiphophorus couchianus (Monterrey platyfish)
Lineage: Eukaryota; Metazoa; Chordata; Actinopteri; Cyprinodontiformes; Poeciliidae
Gene: ttc12
Gene name: tetratricopeptide repeat domain 12
Exons: 23
Source: RefSeq, a predicted model, not a curated record
CGUAAACGCCUCCGCGUCACUAUGGUAACCCAAUGCUAAAACCUGAAGUUGUGUGUUCGCCGCUUCGAUGCAAAAAUAGUACUUAAUAAUAUAGCCUAUUAAAUUCAGGGUUUGAAGUCCAAGACAAUGAUGGAGAAUUCCGAGGACCUGGACAGAUUUCUGAGCAACGUUGACAAAAUAGGUCAGUUAUUGGAAGAUUUCCAGUCCUCUGACAUUGGAGUGCAGCAAAAAGCCGUAGCAAAAGCAGAUACCUUAAUUACUACCUUGGAUGAACCUUGCAGGACAAAAGUCAACAAGACUACAGUCAACACAAGCCCACUCAUUCAGCCUUCUACGAGUUCAAAUACUAGCAGUCAAGAACAUUUCAUGAAGAUUAUGGCGAGAGAUGCCGAAGAGAGGGGAAGAAAGAGAAUGGUUAAACUGAAGGAGGCAACUGCUCUAAAAAAUAAGGGGAAUGAAGCUUAUGCCCAAGAAGAUUAUGAAACCGCAGUGAAGUGUUACAGUGAUGGAUUGGCUGUACUUAGGGACAUGCAGCCACUCUACACCAACAGAGCACAAGCUUACAUCAAGCUUGAAAGAUAUAAAGAAGCCAUCAUGGACUGCGAGUGGGCCUUGAAGUGUAAUGAAAGAUGCAUAAAAGCUUAUGUACAUAUGGGGAAAGCAUACCUGGGUUUGAAGAAAUAUAAUGAGGCAAGAAGCUGCUUUGAAAAGAUACUGGAGAUUGAACCUGGAAAGGAAAACGUGGUAAAAGAAUAUUUGGACCUGGUAGAUUUAGAAGAGGAAAAAGAUAGCCAGGAGACGGAUGCAAAGAAACAACUUGACGAAGGAGAGAGAAAGGCCACAGCGGUUCCCCAGCUGCUGGAGAAGCUGUCUAGGCCCGGCCAGAUGCCCCUCUAUUACUGUGGAGGAUUGGAGAGCCUGUCACAGGCAGUUACUGACUGUACAGGAAAGACUCUCUUCAGACUGAACAAUGGCUUUAGUAUCAUCAGCAGCAAUGACGUGCUGAAGUGCUGCUUGUUGCAGGAAACAGAUGACCUACUCAGCCAAGAGUUGUGCAUUUCAGUAUUGAGACUUUGGAGGAUCGUUUGUCAUGAAAAUGUUCAAGAAAACCAGAAGAUCCUGAUGAAAUAUCCACUUGCUAGACAGUCUGUUGUGCAGCUGUUAACGUCAGACCAUGCUGAAGUUGUGAAGGAAUGCCUGGAAUUACUGAGUUUGUACUCAAACACUUUGUAUGGCAGACGUUUGGCCAUCGACAACCUAGACCUGCACAUGUUAGUGAGAAACCUCAUGAGGUGCAUCUCUGAACCAAAGCGGCAGCAGGGGAUCACAGCAGGCUGUAUUCUGGAAACCUUUGCUGCUGAAGAUGGAUUUCGGUUGAAGCUGAGAAAUAUGUCGACAGAUUUUGUUGUUAUUCCACUCAAGACAAUACUGGGAAGUAUCAGCAAAUCUAAUCAACAGGUCCUUACAUUACUCAUAUCAGCCAUCGGCUUUCUGGCAAAAGAUGAAGUAAUUUGUCAAAACCUCGCUCAUCAGCGAGAAUGUUGGGAAGCCUUCCUCACUGCUAUUAAACAGUGUGGUUCAUCUGAAUACAACGACGUUAUUCACAUUAUGCUGGGCUUGAUUAUCAACCUAUCAACAGUCAUAUCCUUGACUAUACAGGUGCAUGCUGUUUCUCUCUCUGACUGCUGUCUCGACUUGCUGGAAAGCGCUGACGAAGGAAUUGUGACUAGAGCCAUGGGUGUGUUGAGCACUGUCCUCCCUCAGUCCUCUGAAGCUGUUCACCAUGCUGUUCGAAGGAAAGUCAUUCACACCAUUUGCUGGCUGCUGAAGGGAAAAGGUCAGACUGCCACCAAAUUUGCCAUGAAGACAUUGACGCUUUGCACUGCAGUCAGCGACGCGGCAAGGGAAGAGCUGGUGAAGUCUGAUAAAAAACUCUCCAAUUUACGUCGUUUGCUGCGUUCCAACAGCGAUGAGGUGAUUUCAGGAAAUGCAGCUUUGUGCUUGGCCCAUUGCUUUGAGCUGGAAGGAGUUGCCACCCACCUGCUGGGUACUGAUAUUGUGCUGCUUCUACUGCGGCUCGCUGCAGGGGAGCCUAAGAAGACAGCUGUGCAGCAAAAUGCAGCCAUUGCUCUCAGCAAACUAUGUCGAUCUGAGCCCAGUGUGACAGAAAUUUCAGAUGACAUCUGUGGCAGUGGAAACUACACCGCAGAAAUGAGGCUGAAGAUGGGAACAAGUGUGGAGCCUGGUGAUGUGGUGCCAACCCGAGGGAACCUCAGAGUGAUUAUCAAUCUGAAGACAGACAACAGUCAGAUAAACCUUGGCGUCACCCUCUGUUGCCUGUCACCAACACGUCAGCUGGACUUCAACAACCCUACCUGCUGCUUUUUUUUCAGACCAGGAGAGGAUCAUGCUGCUGCCCAGCACCUUGUCAACCAGUGCCAGUUUUACCAUCAGUCUCUUCCAAAUGAUUAAUUACUCAGUGGUGUACCUACACUGUGAUCUCAGUGUCUGUCUGAGGAACCACUCUAACUGUGAAAGGCAAUGCCUUCAGCAGCGGAGUGUGUUUCCUUCUGAAGGUGCUGACACUGUCACGGUCAAUCUUCGAAAUCGCGUAUCUUUUGGGCCGGUGUUGAAACAAGCAAAAAAUUCAACCUUCCCCCUGGAGAUAGG